Molecule: small RNA, 110 nt
Filed under: pig gut metagenome
Description: drum RNA
Rfam family: drum RNA
About the family: Firmicutes, Bacteroidetes (1 example), Proteobacteria (2 examples), Spirochaetes (2 examples). Terminator (Clostridia)
Source: RNAcentral
AGCUGUGAAGUAAGAGGGUGUGCCGGAAUGCACUGUCUUAUGGAGCUUUAAGGAGGGGUUGGACAGUAUACCUCAAACCGGAUUAGGUGUAAGCCGAAAGAAAAUGUUCU